This 520-nucleotide ribosomal RNA is filed under the name uncultured Glomus. RNAcentral describes it as "SSU rRNA". It matches the Rfam family "Eukaryotic small subunit ribosomal RNA", at positions 569 to 1092 of the family's 1831-position model. Lineage: Eukaryota; Fungi; Glomeromycota; Glomeromycetes; Glomerales; Glomeraceae. The record is from RNAcentral.
AGCAGCCGCGGUAAUUCCAGCUCCAAUAGCGUAUAUUAAAGUUGUUGCAGUUAAAAAGCUCGUAGUUGAAUUUCGGGAUUAAUAUGUUGGUCGUGCCUUGGUACGUACUGGCAUUAUUGAUUCCUACCUUCUGAAGAACCUCGAUGUCAUUAAUUUGGUGUCUUGGGGAAUCAGGACCGUUACUUUGAAAAAAUUAGAGUGUUUAAAGCAGGCUCGCGCUUGAAUACAUUAGCAUGGAAUAAUGAAAUAGGACGUUUGAUUCUAUUUUGUUGGUUUCUAGGAUCGACGUAAUGAUUAAUAGGGAUAGUUGGAGGCAUUAGUAUUCAAUUGUCAGAGGUGAAAUUCUUGGAUUUAUUGAAGACUGACUACUGCGAAAGCAUUUGCCAAGGAUGUUUUCAUUAAUCAAGAACGAAAGUUAGGGGAUCGAAGACGAUCAAAUACCGUCGUAGUCUUAACCAUAAACUAUGCCGACUAGGGAUCGGAUGAUGUUAAUUUUUAAUGACUCAUUCGGCGCCUUAAC